GCCGAAGUGGCGGAACUGGUAGACGCACUAGCUUCAGGUGCUAGCGGUCGUAAGGCCAUAGGAGUUCAAAUCUCCUCUUCGGCA
This 84-nucleotide transfer RNA is filed under the name Candidatus Kuenenbacteria bacterium CG10_big_fil_rev_8_21_14_0_10_36_11. RNAcentral describes it as "tRNA-Leu". It matches the Rfam family "tRNA". Rfam says of the family: Transfer RNA (tRNA) molecules are approximately 80 nucleotides in length. Lineage: Bacteria; Candidatus Kueneniibacteriota. The record is from RNAcentral.